RNAcentral lists this ribosomal RNA (435 nucleotides) under uncultured bacterium. Its description in RNAcentral is "partial 16S ribosomal RNA". It matches the Rfam family "Bacterial small subunit ribosomal RNA", at positions 29 to 507 of the family's 1533-position model. The record is from RNAcentral.
AGCGAACGCUGGCGGCAGGCUUAACACAUGCAAGUCGAGCGGGCACUUUCGGGUGUCCGCGGCGGACGGGUGAGUAACGCGUGGGAACGUGCCCUCUGGUUCGGAAUAACUCAGGGAAACUUGAGCUAAUACCGGAUACGCCCUUUUGGGGGAAGGCUUGCUGCCGGAGGAUCGGCCCGCGUCUGAUUAGCGAGGUGGUGAGGUAACGGCUCACCCAGGCGACGAUCAGUAGCUGGUCUGAGCGGAUGAUCAGCCACACUGGGACUGAGACACGGCCCAGACUCCUACGGGAGGCAGCAGUGGGGAAUAUUGGACAAUGGGCGCAAGCCUGAUCCAGCCAUGCCGCGUGAGUGAUGAAGGCCUUAGGGUUGUAAAGCUCUUUUAUCCGGGACGAUAAUGACGGUACCGGAGGAAUAAGCCCCGGCUAACUUCGUG